AAACUUUCAACAACGGAUCUCUAGGCUCUUGCAUCGAUGAAGAACGCAGUGAAAUGCGAUAAGUAAUGUGAAUUGCAGAAUUCUCGUGAAUCAUUGAAUCUUUGAACGCACAUUGCGCCCUUUGGCAUUCCAUAGGGCAUGCCUGUCUGAGCGUCA
This 156-nucleotide ribosomal RNA is filed under the name Terfezia arenaria. RNAcentral describes it as "5.8S ribosomal RNA". It matches the Rfam family "5.8S ribosomal RNA". From Rfam's summary of the family: 5.8S ribosomal RNA (5.8S rRNA) is a component of the large subunit of the eukaryotic ribosome. Lineage: Eukaryota; Fungi; Ascomycota; Pezizomycetes; Pezizales; Pezizaceae. The record is from RNAcentral.